CAGCAGUAGCCGCGGUAAUACGGAGGGUGCAAGCGUUAAUCGGAAUUACUGGGCGUAAAGCGCACGCAGGCGGUCUGACAAGUCAGAUGUGAAAUCCCCGGGCUUAACCUGGGAACUGCAUUUGAAACUGUCAGGCUGGAGUCUUGUAGAGGGGGGUGGAAUUCCAGGUGUAGCGGUGAAAUGCGUAGAGAUCUGGAGGAAUACCGGUGGCGAAGGCGGCCCCCUGGACAAAGACUGACGCUCAGGUGCGAAAGCGUGGGGAGCAAACAGGAUUAGAUACCCCUGUAGUCCCUGUCUCUUAUAC
RNAcentral lists this ribosomal RNA (304 nucleotides) under uncultured bacterium. Its description in RNAcentral is "partial 16S ribosomal RNA". It matches the Rfam family "Bacterial small subunit ribosomal RNA", at positions 506 to 807 of the family's 1533-position model. The record is from RNAcentral.